Elaeis guineensis (African oil palm) is the source of this 2403-nucleotide non-coding RNA. Lineage: Eukaryota; Viridiplantae; Streptophyta; Magnoliopsida; Arecales; Arecaceae. The record is from RefSeq and is a predicted model, not a curated record.
UAGAAGAGGGCGUUCGCGUGUUUUGGAUCCCAUCAGGGAAGUGCAGUGCAGCAAGCGGCAGAGAGAGAUGGAAGAUGUGCUCACCGAGAUCCCUCCGCCCUCGCGAUUCUUCCAAGAAGACCUCGACAACUUCGCCAUCCCGUCUCCCCCGCUCCCCUCCCCUUUCCUCCUCCUGAACCAUAACCCAAACCCUAAUCUCCUCCGCCCCUCCCUCCUCGUAAUCGCCAUCUCGGCUCCAUCCAUCGCCCUCCUCCACCGCAUCCCCCACAAAACCCUGAUCGGAACCCUAAUCCUCCCGGAGAUCCCCCUCUCCGGCAACUGCCUCGCGCCCUCCCCCCGCGACCGCUCCUGCAACAUCUACGCCGUCGACCGACCGGCGUCGUCGCCGCCGGCUGUCCUCGUCUCUGUCCAGUACCCAGUCACCGCUGAGAGGUCCCGCACCGUCGCGAAGUCUCUUCUCGGCGAGAUCCGUGCGGAGACAGUUCUGAUCUUGGAUUCGAUCCGGAGGCAGAACUACCGGGAGAGGUUGGCGGUGGACGAGGCGCAGGUCUUCAAGCUGGAAACCUCGGAGCAGAGGUGUGGAGGGGAUCCGGCGGUGGUGCGGGGGGUUGAGUACCUGCCGUCGGGGAGUGUGAUGGACGGCCUGGGGGCGGCGAUCCUCGGGGAGUGCCAGAUGAGGAGGUCCAAGGGCACGCUGCUCGCGACGUGGCCGGACAAGGGGCGCCCGCCGGUGGCGCUGCUGCUGAGGUCUCUGCUGCAAGACUUGGGCUUUGAGAUUGGUGAGGCGGAAGUGGAGGAGAAUUUUGCUGGAUUUGGGGUUUCUGCUCGUUAUGAUUCGGAUUUGUAUACCUGAGAGAAGCGCAAUUAUGUCGAGGAGAUGAAAGACAAGACUUGUGAUGUAUAUGAGGGCUAAUAUCAGAUGAUGAUCACCACCAUGGAGUUGGAGUUACCCAAAUCGGCGGCAUGAGAAAAUCUGGAGCCUCUUAGUAAGGACAAGGAUUUACGAAGCAACUUCUCUAAUUGUUUGGGGGUUUUGCUGGAGGAAUCUGGAUAAUAUUACUGCUCUCUUAUAGUUCCUUGUUUUAGGAGACAAUGUGAGGGAACCCUUUCUUUAAGUAUCGAUGUCAGAAGAUGAAUCUGUUAUGCCUAAGAAGUCCACAGUUGAUGAUUUGAUCCAUGUGCUCAAGGUUGUUUGAGGUGGAGACGUCUUGUGUUGUUUCAAUGAUCUGGAUUCCACAUAUAAAUGGUCAAGUGUUCUUUCUCUUGGCUCAUCUAUAUAGGCAGAUUGAACAGGGAUUACAUAUAUCAGCAUUGGACACUGCAAGACACUUUACAUCCACCACAAAAUGUGUCUUCAGAUACCGAAGUUCAAUUCUAGGAACAACACUGAAUGAAAUUGGCAUCUUGAGUCCAUUAACCAGACCACUGCCAUUGAAGUGCAAACUCAGCAUUUUAAAUAUGAAGAAACAAUUUCACUCUGUACAUAUAUGGACAAUAAGUGGGCCUGUCAGAGUAAAUCACCGGUUGGCUUGGAAGCAAUUAGAAAAGAAAAAUGUGCCCUUCUUAUGUGAAUCUGGAUCAUCGAACUUUUACUGCCAUUUUCUGUAUUAGGACUGAUGUAGACAACUUUGCAUUCACCCUUGUUUAUUUUUCUGGAAAAUGCGUCAAACCUAAAGUGCCCUAACCAUGGAUCAGCAGAGAAAUCUUAACUUGUCAGUCAUUCAUGGCAGGAUGGUAUGAGAUGGUUUAUAUGAAGGUGGUGCAUAGAAGUCUUGGAUUGAUGUAAAUCUAGUGCUGAACAGCAAUCCCAUAUAAGGUUGUUAAACCCAAAGUAGCAUGGAAUAGGAACACACAAGGUGCCUUUUCUGUGCGAGAGUGAAACGCGUCCUCCUUGUUGGAUUCUUCACAAUGGUCUUCCAUGUGCCCGUUCUCUUUUUUUCCCUUUCAUACAUGUUGGUGCUAAUAGCAACUUAGCAAGUUACUUUAAUCUAAUGCAGUUGGACGAUGAAUGUGAAAGUUGGAGAACGGACCUAUGAAGUUUCUCAUUUUCUCAAAAUAAAGAAAAGGGAAAAGCAAAUGAUUUUUCCUUCUUUCCCUCUCUGGAUAUCUCUGCAAAUUGUUUUCUUCGUGGCUGUCAAGGAACCAUAAAGUCAUACAAAUAAUGCAAUUCAGAUUCUAAAAUAGCAUUUUGUUGUGGAAUAAAUGUUGAAAGGGAUAUCUUGUGUACUGUUGGAGGAUAAACUUAUUAUACAGAAUAAGAGUGUGGGCAUCUGAUUGGAGGAAGAAAAUGAGGUACAUUUAACACGCAUUAGAUUUCGAGAUGCUUCUAAUUUUACUGGAAAGAUGAAAUUAUUUUUUUACCUUUUUAUGUGUUUUUAAGAGUGGAUAAGGGCGAAAUGGUAU